This 72-nucleotide transfer RNA is filed under the name Pangasianodon hypophthalmus (striped catfish). RNAcentral describes it as "tRNA-Glu". Lineage: Eukaryota; Metazoa; Chordata; Actinopteri; Siluriformes; Pangasiidae. The record is from RNAcentral.
UGCCUGGAGGACUAGUGGUUAGGCCUCAGCGCUCUCAUCACCGUGCCCCGGGUUCGAUCACCAGCCAGGGAA